Molecule: non-coding RNA, 154 nt
Filed under: uncultured Parabacteroides sp.
Lineage: Bacteria; Pseudomonadati; Bacteroidota; Bacteroidia; Bacteroidales; Tannerellaceae
Source: RNAcentral
GGGGUAGGUGAUGAAAAGGGAAUCAGGUGAGAGUCCUGGACAGACCCGCUGCUGUAAGUUCCGUGGAUAUUUCCGAUAAUCUUUGCCACUGAGGGGAUUACCCUUGGGAAGGCGGUCGGGAAUGGGACAAGUCAGAAGACCUGCCAUAAAUAGA